RNAcentral lists this ribosomal RNA (433 nucleotides) under uncultured bacterium. RNAcentral describes it as "partial 16S ribosomal RNA". It matches the Rfam family "Bacterial small subunit ribosomal RNA", at positions 29 to 507 of the family's 1533-position model. The record is from RNAcentral.
AGCGAACGCUGGCGGCAGGCCUAACACAUGCAAGUCGAACGAACUCUUCGGAGUUAGUGGCGGACGGGUGAGUAACACGUCGGAACGUGCCUUUUGGUUCGGAAUAACUCAGGGAAACUUGUUCUAAUACCGAAUGUGCCCUUCGGGGGAAAGAUUUAUCGCCAUUAGAGCGGCCCGCGUCUGAUUAGCUAGUUGGUGAGGUAACGGCUCACCAAGGCGACGAUCAGUAGCUGGUCUGAGAGGAUGACCAGCCACACUGGGACUGAGACACGGCCCAGACUCCUACGGGAGGCAGCAGUGGGGAAUCUUGCGCAAUGGGCGAAAGCCUGACGCAGCCAUGCCGCGUGAAUGAUGAAGGCCUUAGGAUUGUAAAAUUCUUUCACCGGGGACGAUAAUGACGGUACCCGGAGAAGAAGCCCCGGCUAACUUCGUG